Molecule: long non-coding RNA, 432 nt
Filed under: Anas platyrhynchos platyrhynchos (common mallard)
Lineage: Eukaryota; Metazoa; Chordata; Aves; Anseriformes; Anatidae
Description: lncRNA (ENSAPLG00000029616.1)
Source: RNAcentral
AUGGGCUGUCUUCCUCUGCAGUGUCUUGAAUGCUGUUGCUCUGUGGCUUUUCCAAGGACGUGGCAGUUUUCUGGAGCACUGGAGGGUUCCACAGGAGCUGCCCCCAGAUGCCUUCUGUAUUGCCUGGACCUGGUGCUUCCAGCUGUCAGCUCUGGAGCUGAUAUAGCAGCCCUGUGUUUGAGCAGCUGCAGCCCUGGGAAAGUUGUCUUACAGAGUGAAAGGACACCCAGGCUUCUGGCAGAACUGCCAGGUGGCCUCACAGGAGAUACCUACGUGGACAUAGGACAUCAGUUCUGGGAACAGCUGUUGGUGACUCCUGUUUUCCUGGAAGGGCUUGGGCAUAAGAACUCUAACAACGUUUUUCACGCUCUGUGGAUGUCAUUAAUGGAUGAGGUAAGUGGUGUACUCAACCACUGGCUGAUUCCAAAGUGA